This is a long non-coding RNA of Aricia agestis (brown argus), 634 nucleotides long. RefSeq lists it as uncharacterized. The record is from RefSeq and is a predicted model, not a curated record. The transcript is spliced from 4 exons. Lineage: Eukaryota; Metazoa; Arthropoda; Insecta; Lepidoptera; Lycaenidae.
CGGCAGAAAACAAAUAGCGGAGGAGACUGAGGCAGAGAUGGAUAACACUUAACAACACCACAUCAAUUUCCAGGUGUACUUGUACGACAAACUUCAGAUAUUUCGACAUCUUCUGUGGUUGCAUCAAAUGCUGUGAUUGCUCGACACCUUGCCAAACUCGAGGAAGGCAUCAAGGAACUGCAAUUAAACCAAAAAGAAAUAUUGGAAAGACUACGCUCUGGAGCAACUGCGACGGCUGUAGCUGUUGGUUAUCAAGCCCUGUCCCUGCCAGAAGGAGUCAAUUUACCAUGCACCCAGAUCGAAGAGAUUAAAAAGAUUGAUGUCUGGCUAACAGUGGACGAAAAUUACAUGCUACUUGUUAACCACUUGAGCUAUGUAGGCGGUAACAAAACAUCAGCAAUAUUAAGGAGGAUUCUUGAAAAACUGUUUUCAAACAAACUUGCGGAAAUCUGUAAUUGGUCAGGCAAAAAUGGAAAACAUAAGCUACAAGAUCACCUUUUAAUUAAAGUUGUUACUGAAGCUCUCCGUCGGCACAAAGUCGCCGAAACGGCUACAGAAAACGAGAUAAAGACCGUGGUUAGCAACUGGUUCCGCUUCUCCAAAGAUAGAGAUGGAGGUCGAGAAAGCAGACGCA